CUUGCUUCUCUUGAGAGCGGCGGACGGGUGAGUAAUGCCUAGGAAUCUGCCUGGUAGUGGGGGAUAACGUCCGGAAACGGACGCUAAUACCGCAUACGUCCUACGGGAGAAAGCAGGGGACCUUCGGGCCUUGCGCUAUCAGAUGAGCCUAGGUCGGAUUAGCUAGUUGGUGGGGUAAUGGCUCACCAAGGCGACGAUCCGUAACUGGUCUGAGAGGAUGAUCAGUCACACUGGAACUGAGACACGGUCCAGACUCCUACGGGAGGCAGCAGUGGGGAAUAUUGGACAAUGGGCGAAAGCCUGAUCCAGCCAUGCCGCGUGUGUGAAGAAGGUCUUCGGAUUGUAAAGCACUUUAAGUUGGGAGGAAGGGCAGUAAAUUAAUACUUUGCUGUUUUGACGUUACCGACAGAAUAAGCACCGGCUAACUCUGUGCCAGCAGCCGCGGUAAUACAGAGGGUGCAAGCGUUAAUCGGAAUUACUGGGCGUAAAGCGCGCGUAGGUGGUUCGUUAAGUUGGAUGUGAAAUCCCCGGGCUCAACCUGGGAACUGCAUUCAAAACUGACGAGCUAGAGUAUGGUAGAGGGUGGUGGAAUUUCCUGUGUAGCGGUGAAAUGCGUAGAUAUAGGAAGGAACACCAGUGGCGAAGGCGACCACCUGGACUGAUACUGACACUGAGUGCGAAAGCGUGGGGAGCAAACAGGAUUAGAUACCCUGGUAGUCCACGCCGUAAACGAUGUCAACUAGCCGUUGGGAGCCUUGAGCUCUUAGUGG
RNAcentral lists this ribosomal RNA (770 nucleotides) under uncultured bacterium. RNAcentral describes it as "bacterial SSU rRNA". It matches the Rfam family "Bacterial small subunit ribosomal RNA", at positions 79 to 846 of the family's 1533-position model. The record is from RNAcentral.